This 424-nucleotide ribosomal RNA is filed under the name uncultured bacterium. RNAcentral's name for it is "bacterial SSU rRNA". It matches the Rfam family "Bacterial small subunit ribosomal RNA", at positions 354 to 796 of the family's 1533-position model. The record is from RNAcentral.
GUGGGGAAUAUUGGACAAUGGGCGCAAGCCUGAUCCAGCCAUGCCGCGUGAGUGAUGAAGGCCUUAGGGUUGUAAAGCUCUUUCGCCCGCGAAGAUAAUGACGGUAGCGGGAGAAGAAGCCCCGGCUAACUUCGUGCCAGCAGCCGCGGUAAUACGAAGGGGGCUAGCGUUGCUCGGAAUUACUGGGCGUAAAGGGCGCGUAGGCGGACAGUUUAGUCAGAGGUGAAAGCCCAGGGCUCAACCUUGGAAUUGCCUUUGAUACUGGCUGUCUUGAGUACGGGAGAGGUGAGUGAAACUCCGAGUGUAGAGGUGAAAUUCGUAGAUAUUCGGAAGAACACCAGUGGCGAAGGCGACUCACUGGCCCGUUACUGACGCUGAGGCGCGAAAGCGUGGGAGCAAACAGGAUUAGAUACCCCUGUAGUCC